Molecule: ribosomal RNA, 654 nt
Filed under: Triticum aestivum (bread wheat)
Lineage: Eukaryota; Viridiplantae; Streptophyta; Magnoliopsida; Poales; Poaceae
Description: partial small subunit ribosomal RNA
Source: RNAcentral
AUGCCUCCUCACGCGCCUUCCUUCGAGAAGAGCUGCUCCGGCGACCGGCAAAGACAGGAGGCAGGAGGGCAGCUGCUGCGAGGCCCGGGGCAGCGGUGGUCGUCGUUCCACGGGCGCGGGGCGGAGCAGCGGCACCAGCUGCCAAAGCAGAGGCCCAAGACGCAGCCGGACCUGCUCGCCGGCGUGAGGGGCAGGAGCUUCCGCGCCGCGGACGGCGGCGAGCCGCUGGCCGAGCUGGCGGUCCGGAGGACGCCGGGCAAGGUGCUGGUGAACGUGACCGUGCAGAGGAGCCUGUGGCCGCUGCACGUCAUGGCGUCGGCGGACUGGAGCGUGGCGGACCUUGUGGCCGCCGCCGUGGGGAUUUACGUGAAGGAGGGCAGGCGGCCCUUGCUGCCGGCGACCGACCCGUCGACCUUCGGCCUACACUACUCCCAGUUCAGCUUGGAAAGUUUGGACCCGAGGGAGAAGGUGAUGGAGCUAGGGUCCCGGAGCUUCUUCCUGUGCCCCAGGUCCUCCUCGGCCGCCGUCCAGACCUCCUCGUCCUCCUGCUCCUCUGCCGGAGCAAGCGGUGUCAGGAACGCCGGGGAGGCGCCUACGUCGGCAGGCGAACCGCCGGCUUGGCUGCGCUACAUGCCGUUCUGGCCGACCAUGUAG